Molecule: long non-coding RNA, 812 nt
Organism: Homo sapiens (human)
Lineage: Eukaryota; Metazoa; Chordata; Mammalia; Primates; Hominidae
Source: Ensembl
AGAUUUUGCCAUAGAGAAAUCUCUUGCUUUUCAAUCUCUCCAAUUUGGGAACCAACCAACCAACCAGUCUACCAACCAGCCAACGAACCAACUACUCAACCGGUCAACUGACUCCUCCCGGAGACAAAGAUUGGAGAAUUGCUUGAAUCUGGUACAAAGACUAAAGCAAAGUAAUACUGUAUCAUGCACAGACCUCAACUCUGUGAAGACAGUCCCUCAUGCUGUAGGAAGUCAGCCUUGAAUAUCUAGGCUUAGGGGAGGCUGAGAAAGGUCACCACUGGAGAAGUAAGCGGUUGGGGCAGGUCAGGAUCCAGGGCUCUCAAUUCUUAUGGAGAGAUUUUGCUUUUUUAAAACAUCAGACCUGCUGGUGUUUGCACUCAGUUUUCUUUCUUAUAAAAAUCAACUCUAUUGAGAUGUACUGCCCAAUCAAGAUAUAGAACAUUUGCAUCACCCUAGAAAACUUCCUUGUGCCCCAAAUCACAUCACUGAUGUGAUUUCUAUCACUAUAGCUGAGUUUUGUCUAUCCUAGAACUUUGUGUAAAUUGUCCUUUUCUUUUGACUUUAUGUAGUUUUUUUCUCAUGUGGAAGAAAAAGAAUUAUUGUAGGUUUAUGGUUUUUAAAAAAUAUUCAAAUCGGAUUCAUCUGACAUUUAUUUUGGUGUAGUGUGUGAAAGGCACAGAUCUAAUCUCAUUUAUUUUCUCCCAGAGAGCUACCUGGUUGUUUCAACAUCAUUUAUUGACAAAUGUAUCUUUUUUCUCACUGGUUUAAAUGCCACCUUUAUCAUACAUUAAAUUCCCAAGUGUGCUCAGGUA